UCUGCAAAAUUAUCUCAAUUUCUUGCACUAUUCACAAUGCAAUGGUUACAGAGAUGAUACACAUUUUGACUAUUGAUUGAUUGAUUGUCCUUUUGAGACAGGGUCUCUCUAUGCAAUUCAGGCUGGCCUUUAGCUCACUUUGUAGCCCAGGCUGGUCUCGAACUCGCAAAGAUCCUCCUGCCUCAGCCUCCGGAGUGCUGGGAUUACAGACGUGCCACCACGCCCGGCACCACAUUUUAAUCUUAGUCUAGAUGUGUAUUCUCUACCAGUUUCUUAAAUCUAGACAAUCAACACAACAACAAAGAAAGAUGCAUCUGGGGCAUCUGCUUAUUACUCUUGGUGAAUAUUCCAAGCUGUUGAGAGCUGAGGAUUACAUCUUCAGGACCUCCUGCACAAAGCCCCAAAAUGUGAAUGGAUGAGAAGAGAGGACUCACAAAAGCACUCACUAAAAACACAGAAGGAAAAUGUAUACCAACCUGUUUGCUGUUGCUAUAACAAAAUACCUGAUUCAGGACUUCCACUCACCAGCUGAGGAACGGGAGCCAGGCUCGCCCCGCUAUCCUGCCUCGGGAGAGACCCAGCCUCAACCCCACCACACUGCCCCUCUCCGCCGUCCUCCGGGCCGCAGCAGGCGCGCGCACGAGAGCCGCAGGUCAGGCCAGGCUGCUGCGCACCAGGACCGCCCGCACCCCGGAACUCACUCGGGCGGCCGCAGGGGUCCAGUCUUCGGGAGCCACCUUUCCUCUUACCGCCCAAGCGGGGCGCCCGGACCCUGCCCCGACCCCCGGGCCUCUCACCUGGGGUCACCACGCCUCUGGGCCUGGGGUGACCUCGGUCUCACCUGCUGCAGACCGAGAGCUGCCCUACUCCGGAGGCCCCGUAAAUCCUCAGCAGCCCUUCCUUCUGUAUUCACUAGGGAUUUUUGAGGACCUGAGAGCGAAACCCAUCCAAAACGGGCCUGCGCAGUCCGAGUGAUCCAUAACCCCGCACGCGCGUGAUGCUGGGAGCCUUUCCUCCGGUCUCUGGACUCUGGCCUCACUGAGUCUCUGCUGCCUCCCAUCUCCGUCCUUUCUCCCUCUGGUCGGUCUCCCUCCCGUGUGCUGGAGUUAAGUCUCAAACAGCCCUUUUCCAGCAGGGGCCUGGUGGUGUAGGCCUGUAAUCCCAGCACUCUGGGAGGCUGAGGCAGGGAGAUAGCAAAUUCUGACCGAGUCUGGACAAAUUAGCCGUUUAGUGAGAGCUUGUCUCAAAAUAAAAUAUAAAAAAGAGCUGGGAAUGUGAUUCAGAGCGAAGGCCCUGGGUUCAAUCUCCAGUACCGAAGCGUGUGUCUGGGGGGUGGGGGUAGGCCCCUUCCCUUGGCCGGGAGAGCUGCGCUCCAGCCCCAGAGUUUCCGUACUGGAGUUCGCCUUCUCCCUGACUGGCGCUGGAAGAAAAGCGCUCUUUGAUCAGUCGGAGUUCUGAUUGGCCCGGCGACAGAUAAGGGGUGGAGCAAACGGACUGACAGGCGAGUCAGAGGGCUGCGGACCCAGGGGAAGAGGUUCGCCGCAGCCCGCGAAGCUCCGCAAACGAACGUUCUGAGUCCUUUAACUCCUAACAGCUUACCUCUCCCUGAGUCUCCCCUGCCAACGGCGGGUCCUCCUCGACUUAGCAUCCCCCACCCCAGCUGUGCACAUUCAAGGGGUUUGCAGCUCCCCAGCUCGGGUCACUCCUCCAUGUGAAGCAGUGUAGCUUCACCUCCCUGCUGUGCCCGGGCAGGUCACCUUCCACAGAAACCCGAGCGAGACCGUCUCCCUAGGAGAAGACACUGACCUUGAGUCCUCUGAUCCCUACCCAGGCCAGCGCCAGGAUGGCCGGGAUUUGCACCCAAAGCCGCUGGUGUGGGGACAGCAGGGCUGGCCACGGCUGCUCCUGGUCCUAGUCGUUCCUAGAGAAUUCAGAGCAGCACCCUGGACUCCGCCAGCCCGCACUGGGGCUCCUCCUGCCUCCCCCACGGUGAUGGCCGAACAUGGCCUUGCCAGGGCAGGAGGAGGAGAAGGAUCACCCCUCCUUUCUUCCCACCCUGGUUUGAGGCCCACUGGCCAGAAGGAACAGAGGUAAAGUUAGGGUCCAUAGCAGAGGGCGAAGGACACCUGAGAAUUCCCAGUGUCGGUUUCUCUCACACAAGGCUCCCAGGGCAUAUGGUUAGCUGACCUGGGGAAAAUCCAUCGGGAAUAAAAUUGUGACUGUCCCAGACACUCUGGAG
This 2239-nucleotide long non-coding RNA is filed under the name Chinchilla lanigera (long-tailed chinchilla). Its description in RNAcentral is "lncRNA (ENSCLAG00000023745.1)". Lineage: Eukaryota; Metazoa; Chordata; Mammalia; Rodentia; Chinchillidae. The record is from RNAcentral.